CAGUCGAGGGGUAACAGAGAAUAGUUUACUAUUUUGCUGACGACCGGCGCACGGGUGAGUAACGCGUAUACAAUUUGCCUUUUACAGGAGGAUAGCCCAGAGAAAUUUGGAUUAAUACUCCAUGGUAUUACGAGAUCGCAUGGUUUUGUAAUUAAAGUUUCGGCGGUAGAAGAUGAGUAUGCGUCCUAUUAGCUAGUUGGUAAGGUAACGGCUUACCAAGGCGACGAUAGGUAGGGGUCCUGAGAGGGAGAUCCCCCACACUGGUACUGAGACACGGACCAGACUCCUACGGGAGGCAGCAGUGAGGAAUAUUGGUCAAUGGAGGCAACUCUGAACCAGCCAUGCCGCGUGCAGGAAGACUGCCCUAUGGGUUGUAAACUGCUUUUAUACAGGAAGAAACUUACCCACGUGUGGGUAACUGACGGUACUGUACGAAUAAGGACCGGCUAACUCCGUGCCAGCAGCCGCGGUAAUACGGAGGGUCCAAGCGUUAUCCGGAAUCAUUGGGUUUAAAGGGUCCGUAGGCGGGCGAUUAAGUCAGAGGUGAAAUCCCACAGCUCAACUGUGGAACUGCCUUUGAUACUGGUUGUCUUGAGUUACAGUGAAGUAGAUAGAAUAUGUAGUGUAGCGGUGAAAUGCAUAGAUAUUACAUAGAAUACCGAUUGCGAAGGCAGUCUACUAACUGUCAACUGACGCUGAGGGACGAAAGCGUGGGGAGCGAACAGGAUUAGAUACCCUGGUAGUCCACGCCGUAAACGAUGGUCACUAGUUGUUGGGGCUUUAUGCUUCAGUGAUUAAGCGAAAGUGAUAAGUGACCCACCUGGGGAGUACGAUCG
RNAcentral lists this ribosomal RNA (836 nucleotides) under uncultured bacterium. RNAcentral describes it as "bacterial SSU rRNA". It matches the Rfam family "Bacterial small subunit ribosomal RNA", at positions 59 to 888 of the family's 1533-position model. The record is from RNAcentral.